This is a long non-coding RNA of Triticum dicoccoides, 2984 nucleotides long. RefSeq lists it as uncharacterized. Lineage: Eukaryota; Viridiplantae; Streptophyta; Magnoliopsida; Poales; Poaceae. The transcript is spliced from 17 exons. The record is from RefSeq and is a predicted model, not a curated record.
AUUGGAUAGGGACUCCACCGGCGUCGGCCUGCGCGAGGAUUGGUGAAGAACUCCGUUGCCGCUGCGUGCCGUGCUUCUGGAUCGAGCGCUGCCUGACCAAGGGAUAAGAGUAUAAGGUAAAACUAGCCACCAUGCUCCUAUGCGGGCUGCAUCUCCACAUCUCCCGUUUCAUUAUUUCACCAUUGCUGCCUCUUCUCCUCUUCGUUGCUCUGCUUCUUCCCCUGAUUCCUCUUUUUCAUUUUGUUUCUCUUUGUGGUGCCGCCGGGGAUGAGAGGAGCAGCUGCUGAAGCAGGCGCGGCGUUGGUGCACUGCUGGCGAAGCGGUCGUCGACGGUGCCGUCGACGUCAUCCUUGGCAGAAGGUUGGUGCUUCCUCUCCUUCUCACUGCAGCUACCUAUGCAUGUAUUAUUCUAGGAUUUUGCAAGUUAAAUACUCAUGUGUGCUGAACUGAAAAGUUCUCUAUGCAACAUCUAUUGCAGGUUGGUGUUUCUUACCUAUGCCUCUAUUAUUCUAGGAUUUUGAAAGUUAAUUGCUCAUGUGUGCUGAAUUGAAAAGCUCAAUGAAAGGCACUUAUUUCUAUGCACAAAUGCUUUUGUUGCUAUAAGAAUCUGUAGAUAAGUUUCUGUAGAUGCUUAUACACAUAUAAUUUGUCCGAAUUCCUCUUCCAUAUCGAAUCCUAUAAAAAUAUUAAAGGAGGUUGUACUAUGUUGGACAUAAUAUAAAGCCUCCUAGAAUGGUAGUCACAACGAAGGCCUCGAGCGCACGGUAACACGCGAGGGAAAAAAGAGCACCGCACCGCGCCGCGCGUGGGGUGCAGCGCACCACGCGAAGUAAAAAAACACCGCACCGCCGAGGUAGAAAACGGCAUCGAACCCUAGCCCCAAUCCACAGCCCCGCGCCCCUCGCCCCUCCCUCCCUCUUCCGCCGCCACUCCCUCCUCCACCUCCUCCUCCUGCGCCCUAGGAGCCCCGCCGCCGACUGCUACUCCUCCACCGCGUCGCCUCUUCCUCCUCCUCGCUUUCCCAUCGCUCGGGCGCAGGCUGCCGUGACCAAGCGCUUCGCGGGCGAACCCGUCUCCACCGCCAGCUCUGGGUUCACGCGGGACGGGCUCCCCUGCCUGGCCGGCCUCGACGAGCAUGGCCUCGAUCCGGCCUCAGCCUGAGGACCUCGAGCCGAGGAGUGCGGCCUCGAUCGGGACUCGGCAUCUGGGGCGACGGCAAAGGAGGAGGGGAAAGGAGGGGAGCAGCAGCAAACAUCUGGUGCGGCGGUGGCUGGACUCCAUGAGCUGGCUGGCGACGGCGGCGGUGCUGGAUUCGAUCUGCAGGAGAGAGAGGGAGGCGUGGCUUCGAAUUGGAGAGGGACUCCACCGGCGUCGGCCUGCGCGAGGAUUGGUGAAGAACUCCGUUGCCGCUGCGUGCCGUGCUUCUGGAUCGAGCGCUGCCUGACCAAGGGAUAAGAGUAUAAGCUGCUGAAGCAGGCGCGGCGUUGGUGCACUGCUGGCGAAGCGGUCGUCGACGGUGCCGUCGACGUCAUCCUUGGCAGAAGGUUGGUGCUUCCUCUCCUUCUCACUGCAGCUACCUAUGCAUGUAUUAUUCUAGGAUUUUGCAAGUUAAAUACUCAUGUGUGCUGAACUGAAAAGUUCUCUAUGCAACAUCUAUUGCAGCUUCAUCGGCGCCAGCUUCAUCACCAAGUGGACGGGCUCCGGAAGGCAGCCUCCUCCUAAGGCGCCAGGACCGUUGCUGACCAUAUGAUUGGUAGCCUUGGACAGAAGAGGGCCAACAACAAACAGAAGGAACCACUGUCCUGUCCAGAACAUGGAUCAGCUUUGGUGGCAUCCGAUGCUGCCAGGCCACGGGGUUAGAGCAGAGGAAGCUGACAUGGUGUUCGACAUUCAGAUGGUCAUUGUGAUCGACCAGAUGCGGCGCCUCAUGUCACCCCGAGCCUCCAGGGCUUGUUAGCGGUGCUCAUAAAAUUGACAAUUUCACCGGGUUGCCGCCAUCAGGUGCCGCGCGCUGUGAUUCCGGAUCGGCCGUAGGUCGCGUCCAAGAGAGCUGGAGUGGCUGCUGCAGUGAGGGCAUCAGGGGAACCCAUCCUGCUCGACCCCCCACUCUUGGCGGCUAUCUGUAGAGGAGUAGAGAUCGAGGAUGGCUCCCAGUUCGUCGAGGAGACGCCCGACACAUAGGGUUAGCGAGGAGGAGGCUUCCUUCCAUGACGAUGCGCAGAGGAGAAGACAAGAGGAUAUGUGCUGCUAGAUCUGACAUGGAGGUGCUAUUCAAUCCAUCAGUUGCUAGCGGCCUGCUGUGAUUAAGGAGGCCGUGUUAUUUUGGUGUGCGAGAGAGAUCUUGCAGGCUGGCAGAUGCUUUGAACAUGAGCAUGUGGGCAAUUUGGAUUUGUCUGAAGAAGAGACAAAGAAAACAAUCUCAACAUGCUGGUUGUGCUAGAUUUCUCAAGCAUUGGCAAGGCUACGGUAACGGGGAGUGUCAGCAACUACAAUUAAUUCAUUUAUCCAUGGAUUUGGGAUAACAAAAAGAGGUCUCAAGAAAGAGAAAAUAACUUGUGGUUCAAGCAGCAAGAAGAUAGCCAGCCUAAAUGAAUCAAAACAAGAACAAGCGUCGGUAAUUUACAAAUGAGGAAGUGUAGCUGGUGAUGUAAUUACUUUCAAUAGCGCUUCAGCUCUGCAAUCGACAGUUUGACCUCAUGCUAGGGCAGCCUCAGCCAGUUGCCUCUUCUAUUAAAGGGUCCCUCAGCUACUUAUGUUUUGCUAGACAAUGAGGAACCCUUUCUUUUUCCACAAGGGGCAGUAGCUGUGCCAUUCGAUUUGGAGGACAAAGAGUUGAUCACAAAGGGGUAUCAUUCAGGAUAUAUACACAAAAGAGUAUAGAACCAAAUUAUAUGAUGUAAUUGACUACUAUCUAUUAACUUCUCCUGUAGACAAUGUUCACAAGUUCAUGUAUUAAGUACAUUUUAUUGUGUCACUUGUGUUUA